Molecule: ribosomal RNA, 774 nt
Filed under: uncultured Neocallimastigales
Lineage: Eukaryota; Fungi; Neocallimastigomycota; Neocallimastigomycetes; Neocallimastigales
Description: partial large subunit ribosomal RNA
Rfam family: Eukaryotic large subunit ribosomal RNA
Source: RNAcentral
UAGAUGCGAGAGUAGAGCAUAUCAAUAAGCGGAGGAAAAGAAACUAACAAGGAUUCCCUUAGUAACGGCGAGUGAAGCGGGAAGAGCUCAAAUUUGAAAUCUUCAAGGUUCUACCUUGACGAAUUGUAGUUUAAAGAAGUGUUUUCUGUUAGAUGAGUAGCAAAAGUUCCUUGGAAUGGGACAUCAUAGAGGGUGAGAAUCCCGUAUUUGGUUAUUCAUUCUAGCUUUGUGAUACACUUUCAAAGAGUCGGAUUGUUUGGGAAUGCAGUCCAAAAUGGGUGGUAAAUUUCAUCUAAAGCUAAAUAUUGGCGAGAGACCGAUAGCGAACAAGUACCGUGAGGGAAAGAUGAAAAGAACUUUGAAAAGAGAGUUAAACAGUACGUGAAAUUGUCAAAAGGGAAGCGUUUGACACCAGUGUUGUUUUUCCGAAAAUCAAUUACGAAUGGCUUGAUUUUGUGUUGUAUUGACCUUAUCAGCUUUCUUCACUUUUUUCGAGUCUUUCUUAAUGCACUUUUCGGUUAACAAGUCAACAUCAAUUUCUUUUGUUGUAAAAGAGUAUUCGGAAGGUGGCUUUCUUUUCGGAGAAAGUGUUUAUAGCCCUAUACUUCUACAAUCGGAGAGAUUGAGGUCUGCAGCGUAGAUCCUUCGGGGUUAGAUACACUUGUGCUAAGUUGUAGCUUUUCAUAGACAACUUGUUGACUAUGUUUAGUCAUGCGGCUUACUCGCUUAUGCUAUUUUACCUACGCUUAGGAUGUUGAGCGCAUGUCUCUCUCU